Long non-coding RNA from Passer domesticus (house sparrow), 3446 nucleotides. RefSeq lists it as uncharacterized. NCBI's taxonomy places the organism in Eukaryota, Metazoa, Chordata, Aves, Passeriformes, Passeridae. The transcript has 2 exons. The record is from RefSeq and is a predicted model, not a curated record.
CAGAGACAGAUGUUCCUCCCAAAGUCACAGUGUAUCUGGCAGGAGUUGCAAUCUUAAAGAAACCAGAGAACACACCACAUAGAUAAAACAGGAAAAUAACAUCCAGCAAAAGGCACAGGAAAAAUUGGAAGGAGUCAUACUUUCACAUUUUGUUUGGGAAGGUAAUCCCUUUGACAACAGGCAAGAAGGUCACCACUUUCAGAAACAAAACAAAUAAGUGGCAUGUACAGCAAACACUGUGCCUUGUUUUUGAACGGUCUGACAUGUUUCAGGUUUCCCAAACACAGACUUUGCACAUAUAAAACAAUAAAAGGAAACCCAAACCUGAAUGUAAGUAAUUGAUUCAAAUGACAAUGAAAAUACUUGAGAGGGAUGGACAUCACUCUCAAGGGGAAGACAAAAAAUCAUCUAGGAUAAAAAUAACUGUCUUUUUAUCUGAAAUUCAGUGAGGUGUUUAGACUUCACCUCUUUGUCCCUGCUAAUUAUGUCAGGGACACAGAAGAAUAACUUAAUUGCCAUCUCAGAGGGCUGCAAUACUUCUGCAGCAAAGAAGUUAUUUUAGAAAUACAGACAGACUCCUUGAAGGAACACAGAACACAUAUCAACUUGCAUGGGACUAUUUUUACCACAACAUGAAUGCUGAAGUACAUGCAGCUAUCGAAGAAAGCUAAUUAAUUCUUUCUGCUGUAAACAAGUAAACCCUGUUUAGUUCACCAGGCAAGACUUAGAGCUUAUUUACAAACUAUAAUUAUACUUACUUUAUACAAUGCAUAUGCAGUUAGUGCAUUUCCACUCUGGGAAUUUUUCAGGAUGUCUACUACGCUGUCUGGUAAGCCAAUCAACUCUAGGAAUGGAACAACAUUCACCCCACUAUAAAAGAGAAAAACAUUGGUGACUUGAAUGGGAAUUUGAAACCUGAACAGUAAUUUAGAGUACUCUUACUUUAUUGCAUAAACUUCAUAAUUUGAAAACAAAAUGGUUUUUUAUCUAAGCCAUAAACUUACAGGAUUUAUGUUUCUGACCAUAGGAAAAUUAAUGUUCUCAGCAUUUCAAAAGGUGACCCAUUUAUAUUAUCUCUGUUGGGUGGAAUGGUUUCUAACUUACCUGUGCCCCAGUUUAUGUUUGAGGUAAGAAGAUGUAAUGGUGGUAAGACAGUUACUCAGAUUGCAGCUGUGCAUGUUCAAUUUCAUACUCUGUUUUGCCUAAAAUUACCUUUUUUUCUAUUAAAAUUUCAGACAGUGUUCUCCAUUCACUUCUAAAUAUAUCAAACAUGGAAUGUGGCAAAAGACAAGGAAGCAACAUGUUACAUGGACAAGAUUUCAGGGGCUUUGUGCUCAAUUGUUCUACUGUGCCAAUAUAACGUGUCAAAAUGGUGGAGGGAGCUCCUAUCACAAUUUCUUUCUAUUUGACAUCCAGGAAAACACCAAAAAAGAAAGGAAAGCUCAUCUUUAUAUUAUAGAAGAUGAAUAUUAUAGAAGAUUACACACAGUUAGAGAAGACCUGAGUUUUCAAUAUUUAGAGAUUUUAGCUUAUUAGUACCAUUAUCCAUUUCUAUCUACUAUUUUAAGCAUUCUUCUGAGCAGGCAAUCACUUUAGCAUCAGGAACAGUAACAGGCAGUAAUUUACCAACAGUUACUAGAACCUACAGUCUGUAGGCCUGUUCCCAGACUAGGGAAUGGAGACCUAGUAGGAGCUGAAGGACAGCACCUAACUGUGCCAUUUCAUAAACCACUGCUGUUUAGUCUUGUAGGACCAGUCAUUCUGAGAGUUGUUUUUCUACUUCAAGAGGGCACUGCUCCGGUGGCAUAACAAACUGAAGCUUUGUUAUAAUUAGUUUAAUUAGUUUCUAGUUGAAUAUUUCAGUUGUUUUCAUCUGCCAAAUACCUACUUCAGCAGCAGGCUUUAGAGUUUCAAGAAAAGUAAUCUUCACUCAAUCUGAAAUGUCUGGACAUAAGCAUCAACCUGAAUUUAUUCAAAGCAAAAUAUUUUUAUAGUUCAAGACCUUUAUUCCUCUGACAUGAGCUAAAUUUAGAAUGACAUUUGGAUCUAUAGCUCCCAGAAAGGGCAAUUAUGCCAGCUGGUUAGAGUAACUAAAACAAACACUUGUGCAGUAAGGCAUUCUGAUGUCAGAGUUCCAUCCUUGCCACCACAAACCUUGUUGUUUCAUGCUUUCUAUUAUUAAAUAUACAACACCAGCAGUCCAGAGAUAAACAUUUGCUUAUAUUUAGCAAACUAUUUCCAGAUAAUAAAACCUCUUUCAUCUGAACUAGCAAACUAGCAGCUCUUAAUUGAUGUAGUAGUUUUUUCUGAUAAAUGCCAUUUUCCAGAGUGGUAUCUAGAACAUGCUGUAACUAAAAGAAACUAAAAUUAGACUACUUAGUUUACAUAUAAUUUUUUUUAAACCACACAAAUAUUUAAUUUCCAAUUAAAAAGUAUGGUCUACAGCAGCAAUUUUUUCAGCAGAUUGCAGGAAAUAGAGGAAACAGAAACAAAAAAGGAGGGGAUACACAUUGUGAACAGCUAAGUGAGAUAAAUCCAUGAAGUGAAAAUCCAGCUAUGAAGAGGGACUGGGGAUGAAGCGGAGAUGAAGGGGUAACCUGAAGUCCAAGGGCAAAAAAAAGGUAUAAAGAUUUCAACUAGCCAUUUAUAAUCAUGAUUCCAAGUCCCUAUUUUUAUCUUUUGAGAGAUUACUAAAAAUUUCAACGCUGUUUACAUCCAUUCAUCAUUUUGGAGAGAUGAGCAUUCCUUUAAAUGUCAGCAACAUACCUGGUAUACAGCAAUAACUGCAUGGUAAUAGUAUGUACAUUACACUCUCAUGAAUCCUAUAUACUUUCAAUAUUAACUUUAGGCUUUAGUCAAAAAUGUAGCCACAUUUCUCUUUUAAAUAUAAAGGCACUUUUUAACAUGCAAUAAUAAUCUACAUGUCCUUUCACUAGUAGAUCUCAAUUCAACCACAGUAUCGGGCACUGCAACAAAAUACCAACUUACUUCAUGGCUGCAUAGUAAAAGGAUCCAAACCAUACAGUGGAAGUCACAAGGUGCACUGGAAUCAUAACUUUCCCAUACUGCUUAAAAGUUUUCUUGAAUCUCUGAACAAGACUAAUUGAUUUAUCUUGUAAUGGAUCAGGUUCUAAAGAAUCUGACUCUGCAGGGCUCUGCUUGGGCGCAUCAGUGGCCGAAGGCAAAGGAUUUCUCUCUUCUGGUACUUUGUGAGAAGUGUCUGCUGGCUGUGAUGAAAAAGCAGUUUUCUUUGAGGCAAAGUGAGCUGCACCUGCAUGAAGACAUCGCUUAGGAGGGUCCAGUGCCAGAAUCACUUUGCAUCCCACACUAGGCAACACAGACUGUCCUUUUAAGCACUGAAAGACACUGGUACGAGGGAAGAACCAACAUGUCCCAAGAGCCAGCUGAGAUGCAGAAUGUAACAGACUCCGCUGCAUUUUGAUGAA